UGGGCUGUAGCCAAGCGGUAAGGCAACGGGUUUUGGUCUCGUCAUGCCCAGGUUCGAAUCCUGGCAGCCCAG
This 72-nucleotide transfer RNA is filed under the name Allobacillus salarius. RNAcentral's name for it is "Allobacillus sp. SKP4-8 tRNA-Gln". It matches the Rfam family "tRNA". From Rfam's summary of the family: Transfer RNA (tRNA) molecules are approximately 80 nucleotides in length. Their secondary structure includes four short double-helical elements and three loops (D, anti-codon, and T loops). Further hydrogen bonds mediate the characteristic L-shaped molecular structure. tRNAs have two regions of fundamental functional importance: the anti-codon, which is responsible for specific mRNA codon recognition, and the 3' end, to which the tRNAs corresponding amino acid is attached (by aminoacyl-tRNA synthetases). tRNAs cope with the degeneracy of the genetic code in two manners: having more than one tRNA (with a specific anti-codon) for a particular amino acid; and 'wobble' base-pairing, i.e. permitting non-standard base-pairing at the 3rd anti-codon position. The record is from RNAcentral. Lineage: Bacteria; Bacillati; Bacillota; Bacilli; Caryophanales; Bacillaceae. RNAcentral also lists the same sequence under 2 other names.